Molecule: ribosomal RNA, 484 nt
Filed under: uncultured bacterium
Lineage: Bacteria
Description: partial 16S ribosomal RNA
Rfam family: Bacterial small subunit ribosomal RNA
Source: RNAcentral
AUUGAACGCUGGCGGCAUGCUUUACACAUGCAAGUCGAACGGCAGCGCGGGCUUCGGCCUGGCGGCGAGUGGCGAACGGGUGAGUAAUGCAUCGGAACGUGCCCAGUAGUGGGGGAUAGCCCGGCGAAAGCCGGAUUAAUACCGCAUACGACCUGAGGGUGAAAGCGGGGGACCGAAAGGCCUCGCGCUAUUGGAGCGGCCGAUGUCGGAUUAGCUAGUUGGUGGGGUAAAGGCUUACCAAGGCGACGAUCCGUAGCUGGUCUGAGAGGACGACCAGCCACACUGGGACUGAGACACGGCCCAGACUCCUACGGGAGGCAGCAGUGGGGAAUUUUGGACAAAGGGGGCAACCCUGAUCCAGCCAUGCCGCGUGCGGGAAGAAGGCCUUCGGGUUGUGAACCGCUUUUGUUCGGGAAGAAAUCCUCUGGGCUAAUACCCCGGGGGGAUGACGGUACCGGAAGAAUAAGCACCGGCUAACUACGUG